AUUGAACGCUGGCGGUAGGCCUAACACAUGCAAGUCGAACGGCAGAAGAGUACUUGCUCGCGCAUUCAGCGGCGGACGGGUGAGUAAUGCCUAGGAACCUGCGUGUCAGUUUGUGAUAGCGUGCGGAAACGGGGGCUAAUACCGCAUACGCGCUGACGAAGUACGUGUGGAAUCAGCGGACCUCACGCUAUCAGAUGAGCCGAGGUCGGAUUAGCUAGUUGGUGGGGUAAAGGCCCACCAAGGCGACGAUCCGUAGCUGGUCUGAGAGGAUGAUCAGCCACACUGGAACUGAGACACGGUCCAGACUCCUACGGGAGGCAGCAGUGGGGAAUAUUGGACAAUGGGCGCAAGCCUGAUCCAGCCAUGCCGCGUGGGUGAAGAAGGUCUUCGGAUUGUAAAGCCCUUUUAGUUGGGAAGAAGAGCAGUAAGUUAAUACCUCGCUGUUUUGACGUUACCAAAAGAAUAAGCACCGGCUAACUUCGUG
This 484-nucleotide ribosomal RNA is filed under the name uncultured bacterium. RNAcentral describes it as "partial 16S ribosomal RNA". It matches the Rfam family "Bacterial small subunit ribosomal RNA", at positions 30 to 507 of the family's 1533-position model. The record is from RNAcentral.